UACAGAGGUCUCAAGCGUUGUUCGGAUUCAUUGGGCGUAAAGGGUGCGUAGGCGGCGCGGUAAGUCGGGUGUGAAAUCUCGGGGCUUAACUCCGAAACUGCAUUCGAUACUGCCGUGCUUGAGGACUGGAGAGGAGACUGGAAUUUACGGUGUAGCGGUGAAAUGCGUAGAUAUCAGGAGGAACACCGGUGGCGAAGGCGGUUCUCUGGGCAUUACCUGACGCUGAGGAGCGAAAGUGUGGGGAGCGAACAGG
Molecule: ribosomal RNA, 253 nt
Filed under: uncultured bacterium
Lineage: Bacteria
Description: partial 16S ribosomal RNA
Rfam family: Bacterial small subunit ribosomal RNA
Source: RNAcentral